Long non-coding RNA from Anser brachyrhynchus (Pink-footed goose), 1557 nucleotides. Lineage: Eukaryota; Metazoa; Chordata; Aves; Anseriformes; Anatidae. The record is from Ensembl.
UAAUACUAUUUUAAAAUGGGGAAAGCUUCUACAAGCACCUUGGUCAGUUCCAGGUGUAGAAGUUACAUAGUAGAUCAGAACCACAACUUUUAACUUCAACAAGUAGUACCAAAACAAGCAUCUACAUUGUAUAAAAUAACAACACAACACUAGCAUACUUGAAAGGUGUUUAUACCACACUACUAACAAAUCACAACACAGACUUACUUGCAGCACUGAGGAAUAACUUCUUCUCAGUAAAGUCACAACUUGAAGCAGUUUUUCUUAUGAAAAACAAAACAAAACAAAAAACACAGAAGUUUUCUUCAACAAAACACCACUAGCAUUCUGUUAUCUCAAUACCAGUGAGGCACAGCAGGAGAUACUUAGGCCAUAUGUUGUACGGCUGCUCUGUGUUAUUAUCUGCCUCACCUGGUAAGGGUGAGGUAAAACUAUUUCCCUCCUUUUCCACUGUUCAAAAGAGCUUAACAAAGUCUGAGGAAAAUGCCUUGACUCUCCUUAUCCUGUAAUGGGGGAUGCACCCUGCCAUCAUGUUAUCUCACUGUGCUCUGCAGUGGAAGUUUCCAGAAAGCACUGAGCAGGGCAGGGCUGUGCUGCUAGGCCUAGGUGAAAUGGCGGCGUUUCCACAACCUGCACAGGCUGUGAGGAGCACUUCAGUCUGUGACACCACAGGAAAGCUCACUGUGAAGGAGAAUACCACCUUGCUUUGCUGCUUUGUCGCUGCUAAUGGAACACCUCAUCUAUGCUAUUAGACCCCCCAGAUGCAGUCAAGGAGUACAGAGGAAGAAAGAAUCAGGGUUUCUCAGGAAAAGUGAAAUUAUAGUUAUGCUUAAAAGCUUGCAAGAUGAAAAGCAUAUUGUAGUUUCCUUAUGAAUAGUCAACGUGGCACUUUUUUAAAAAAAAAAUAAUUCACCUGAAUUUAUGUAGAAAUAAUUUUGAAUGACCACAUGUAUAUUGUGAGAAUUUGUUUUCUUGAAUAACAAGCUUAUACUAUCACUUUUUUCAACUUUCUCCUAGAAAUGCUCAUCUACUCAAUAAUGAAAAAUGUUGUAACAUGAAUGAAGUAAAAUUUCUAUUAAAAUUAAAAUGACUAUGAAUGUAAAAUACUUUAUUCCUUUUAUUCUGAUAUUUUAUGUAUUGAACUGAAAUAUAUGUGUGCACUGGCGGUCUGAAUUGAAUUUUAUAAAUGCGUUUAUGUAAACCUGUGGAAAAAUGUGGGAAAACUUGCAGAUGACGUUCCCAAUUUCUAACUCUUCCCUGUUUAUUUCUAAUGUCCAUCAGCAUUCUUAUUUUCUCUCUUGGAAGAUAAAAUAUUUUAGAACUUGAAUAAUUAACCUUAGGGAAAAUUUUCUGAUAUUUUAGAAUACAAAAACCUCAUUAAUUAAGUAAUGUUAAAGCUGACGUUCAUUCUGAACUAAGAAUGAAAUGCAGGUGGCUAGGGAUGUAAAACUUUACUGAGCUGAGUGAAUCCAGUUUACACAGCUUGAGGAUCUGGCCUUUGAGGUGCUUGAUUAGCCAAGAAGCAGCCCCUAGUUUCUGUCAAUGACAAUUUUCAAG